GACAUGGAUCAGUACGUUGUUUUUCGAAACGGUAAGAAUCUCAGUGAAGAGGACAUGACUGCUGAAAAAAUACGCUGCAUAUUUCAGAAUGACGGACGAAACCGGUGUCAGCUGAAAUUCUGCUGCGGCCGUGGAAUCGUUGAGUGAUGUUCUGUUAUCUCCUGCGGGGGCCAGAGCAGCGAGGCCCGGCUGCACGAGGGCUAAAGGGGGAGGAUCUGCACUCAAUGACUGCAGCAUCACUUGUAGUAAUCAAGCAGCAACCUCCAGGUCUGAGUGAUGACGCCCAUGUGCAGAAAUCUGCAGUUCACCCAAUGGCCACUAGAGGCUCCAAAAGGGAGCAAAUCCCCAUAGACCCCCAUGUUAAAAAGCCCAACUUUACAGCAUCAUUAAACAUGUUUACAGCCUGGUACAAGAAA
Mugil cephalus (flathead mullet) is the source of this 416-nucleotide long non-coding RNA. RefSeq lists it as uncharacterized. The record is from RefSeq and is a predicted model, not a curated record. The transcript has 3 exons. Lineage: Eukaryota; Metazoa; Chordata; Actinopteri; Mugiliformes; Mugilidae.